Molecule: ribosomal RNA, 253 nt
Filed under: uncultured bacterium
Lineage: Bacteria
Description: partial 16S ribosomal RNA
Rfam family: Bacterial small subunit ribosomal RNA
Source: RNAcentral
UACAGAGGUCCCAAGCGUUGUUCGGAUUCACUGGGCGUAAAGGGUGCGUAGGCGGUCGGGCAAGUCUGACGUGAAAUCUUCAAGCUUAACUUGGAAACUGCGUCGGAUACUAUUCGGCUAGAGGAAUGGAGGGGAGACUGGAAUACUUGGUGUAGCAGUGAAAUGCGUAGAUAUCAAGUGGAACACCAGUGGCGAAGGCGAGUCUCUGGACAUUUCCUGACGCUGAGGCACGAAAGCCAGGGGAGCAAACGGG